AGAGUUUGAUCCUGGCUCAGGAUUAACGUUGGUAGUAUAUCUAACGAAAGCAAGUCGAACGGCAGCACACUAUUUGGGCAACUAAAUAGGGGUGGCGAGUGGCAAACAGGUGAGUAAUGCUUAUCUAACUUGCCGAUCAGUGGGGGAUAACCAUAGGAAACUAUGGCUAAUACCGCAUUUGUUACUUUUUUGUCAUAAGUAAUGAAAGGGGGCCGCAAGGUUCUCGCUAAUCGAGAGGGAUAAGUCGUAUCAGCCGAUGAAAGUAGGGUAAUGGCCUACUGAGGCAAUGACACGUAGCCGGCCUGAGAGGGUGAACGGCCACCGAGGAACUGAGACAAAGUCCUCCAUUCCUACGGGAGUGAGCAUCGGAGAAUCUUCCGCAAUGGACGCAAGUCUGACGGAGUAAUACUACGUGAAGGAGGAAAUGUAAACUUCUGUUAGUGCGGAAAAAGGGCUGAACAACAGUUCAGUCUUGAUGGUACGCACAGAGAAAGCCACGACUAACUACGUGCCAGCAGUCGCGGUAAGACGUAGGUGGCAAACGUUAUCCGGAAUUAUUGGGCGUAAAGGGUGCGUAGAUUGUCGAAUAAGUUAGUGGUGGGAAAUCGAGGCCUAACCUCGUGGAAACUAUUAAUACUAUCCGACUGGAGGACAGGAGAGGUUGACGGAACUCUUUGUGUAGGGGUAAAAUCCGACGAUAUAAAGAUGAACACCAAUAACGGCGAAGGCAGUUAACUAUUCUGUUCCUGACAUUGAGGCACGAAAGCGUGGGGAGCAAAACGGAUUAGAUACCCUAGUAGUCC
RNAcentral lists this ribosomal RNA (803 nucleotides) under uncultured bacterium. RNAcentral describes it as "bacterial SSU rRNA". It matches the Rfam family "Bacterial small subunit ribosomal RNA", at positions 8 to 796 of the family's 1533-position model. The record is from RNAcentral.